Molecule: non-coding RNA, 233 nt
Organism: Drosophila takahashii
Lineage: Eukaryota; Metazoa; Arthropoda; Insecta; Diptera; Drosophilidae
Source: RefSeq, a predicted model, not a curated record
AUUUAUUUUAAUUUCAUGAGCUUUUAUGAUCAAAGUUCAAAAUGGAGUGGAGAAUGUUGUUGAUUUGAAUCAAGAGAGCAAGCUUAAGCAAAAUCAAAUGAAAAGUCUGAGGAGAAUGUAGCGGUAAUAUUAUAUAUAAUAUCGGGUUAUAAGUCAAGAACAAAAGAAAAAACUAUUAGGAGCACAAAGAAAUGUGCCCCCAAAAGUGUGUUAUUAAAACUGUGAUAUUACAU